RNAcentral lists this ribosomal RNA (492 nucleotides) under uncultured bacterium. RNAcentral's name for it is "partial 16S ribosomal RNA". It matches the Rfam family "Bacterial small subunit ribosomal RNA", at positions 29 to 507 of the family's 1533-position model. The record is from RNAcentral.
AGUGAACGCUGGCGGUAGGCCUAACACAUGCAAGUCGAACGGCAGCACAGUAAGAGCUUGCUCUUACGGGUGGCGAGUGGCGGACGGGUGAGGAAUACAUCGGAAUCUACUUUUUCGUGGGGGAUAACGUAGGGAAACUUACGCUAAUACCGCAUACGACCUACGGGUGAAAGCAGGGGAUCUUCGGACCUUGCGCGAUUGAAUGAGCCGAUGUCGGAUUAGCUAGUUGGCGGGGUAAAGGCCCACCAAGGCGACGAUCCGUAGCUGGUCUGAGAGGAUGAUCAGCCACACUGGAACUGAGACACGGUCCAGACUCCUACGGGAGGCAGCAGUGGGGAAUAUUGGACGAUGGGCGCAAGCCUGAUCCAGCCAUACCGCGUGGGUGAAGAAGGCCUUCGGGUUGUAAAGCCCUUUUGUUGGGAAAGAAAAGCAGUAGGUUAAUACCCCGCUGUUCUGACGGUACCCAAAGAAUAAGCACCGGCUAACUUCGUG